UAUAUAUAUAUAUAUAUGUAUAUAUGUGUGUGUGUGUGUGUGUGUGUGUAUAUAUAUAUAUACACACACACAUAUAUAUACAUAUAUACAUAUAUACAUA
Non-coding RNA from Podarcis lilfordi (Lilford's wall lizard), 100 nucleotides. NCBI's taxonomy places the organism in Eukaryota, Metazoa, Chordata, Lepidosauria, Squamata, Lacertidae. The record is from the annotation of a GenBank genome assembly.